CUGUUGGUCACCAAUGCUCAGUGACUGAAACAGAGCAGAAGACAGCUGAGAAGCAUCUAUCUGAUGGACCCCAGUGUUAAGUUAGCCUCCAGUGUCCUGGAUUCAGGGUGACAGAAUGGCCAGCAUGCUGGUGCUGCUUUUGUAUAGAAAUCUAAGUCUAUAGCUUGCCAUUUAAAUAAUUUUUCAAAAUGGUAAACUCAUUUAGCCGGCCACCAAGAUAAAUCUGCUCUUGGGAAUUGCAUUUCGAUGUGCCUGGGAGCAGAAAGCUCCUAUUGUUGAUCAUUUUAGCUGAUAAAUGAAGACACCUUACUUUGGGGUCCCAGUACUUCAUCCAGACAAGGUGAUUGCUUACAGAUGGGACUGAGCCCUAGAACACUGAGGCCAGAGGAGACCUCUCUCCUGAUGGAAGAAGUAAAGAAGGAGGAGGAGGAGGAGCAGGAGGAGGAGCAGGAGAG
Molecule: long non-coding RNA, 455 nt
Filed under: Chinchilla lanigera (long-tailed chinchilla)
Lineage: Eukaryota; Metazoa; Chordata; Mammalia; Rodentia; Chinchillidae
Description: lncRNA (ENSCLAG00000026224.1)
Source: RNAcentral